RNAcentral lists this long non-coding RNA (315 nucleotides) under Capsella grandiflora. RNAcentral's name for it is "long non-coding RNA (CGRA_LNC001588)". Lineage: Eukaryota; Viridiplantae; Streptophyta; Magnoliopsida; Brassicales; Brassicaceae. The record is from RNAcentral.
UCUGAAAACAAUGAGAAACUCGUUGAGGAAGUAUCAAGAGCAGUGGAACGACGAAGUUCAGUUGGUGUGAAUUAUGAUAUAUGUAAUGCAGGAAUGCUUACUAUUUUUAGAGAGGGGGAAACAUCAAAACAGCCGAUCAUUGAAGAGGUUAUAGAGAAUGAAACAAUUAUAUCUGAAAAAGAUGUUGCUAUUGAACGUGUAUCACCUGCAGAUGUGGAUAGCCCGAUGGAUGAGGGUUUGGAUGAUGUGCGUGAUGAUGUUUUGCGUGAUGAUGUUGAGCUUCCACUUCCUUUAAGUAGAGAAAGUCAGUUUNNN